CACCUCACGUGGAGCGCUGGACUGGGCUGGGCAGCGACGCGGGGUCUCAGGGCCCCGUGC
RNAcentral lists this microRNA precursor (60 nucleotides) under Erinaceus europaeus (western European hedgehog). RNAcentral's name for it is "miRNA (ENSEEUG00000021666.1)". The record is from RNAcentral. Lineage: Eukaryota; Metazoa; Chordata; Mammalia; Eulipotyphla; Erinaceidae.